AUACGUAGGGGGCAAGCGUUAUCCGGAAUCACUGGGCGUAAAGGGUGCGUAGGCGGUCUGACAAGUCAGAAGUGAAAGGCAGUGGCUCAACCAUUGUAAGCUUUUGAAACUGUUAGACUUGAAUGCAGGAGGGGCAAGUGGAAUUCCUAGUGUAGCGGUGAAAUGCGUAGAUAUUAGGAGGAACACCAGUGGCGAAGGCGACUUGCUGGACUGUAAUUGACGCUGAGGCACGAAAGCGUGGGGAGC
This 246-nucleotide ribosomal RNA is filed under the name uncultured bacterium. Its description in RNAcentral is "partial 16S ribosomal RNA". It matches the Rfam family "Bacterial small subunit ribosomal RNA", at positions 523 to 769 of the family's 1533-position model. The record is from RNAcentral.